RNAcentral lists this ribosomal RNA (280 nucleotides) under Roseburia faecis M72/1. RNAcentral's name for it is "partial 16S ribosomal RNA". It matches the Rfam family "Bacterial small subunit ribosomal RNA", at positions 524 to 803 of the family's 1533-position model. Lineage: Bacteria; Bacillati; Bacillota; Clostridia; Lachnospirales; Lachnospiraceae. The record is from RNAcentral.
UACGUAUGGUGCAAGCGUUAUCCGGAUUUACUGGGUGUAAAGGGAGCGCAGGCGGUGCGGCAAGUCUGAUGUGAAAGCCCGGGGCUCAACCCCGGUACUGCAUUGGAAACUGUCGUACUAGAGUGUCGGAGGGGUAAGUGGAAUUCCUAGUGUAGCGGUGAAAUGCGUAGAUAUUAGGAGGAACACCAGUGGCGAAGGCGGCUUACUGGACGAUAACUGACGCUGAGGCUCGAAAGCGUGGGGAGCAAACAGGAUUAGAUACCCCGGUAGCUGACUGACU